Molecule: ribosomal RNA, 254 nt
Filed under: uncultured bacterium
Lineage: Bacteria
Description: partial 16S ribosomal RNA
Rfam family: Bacterial small subunit ribosomal RNA
Source: RNAcentral
UACAGAGGGUGCAAGCGUUAAUCGGAAUUACUGGGCGUAAAGCGUGCGCAGGCGGUCUGUUAAGACCGAUGUGAAAUCCCCGGGCUUAACCUGGGAACUGCAUUGGUGACUGGCAGGCUUUGAGUGUGGCAGAGGGAGGUAGAAUUCCACGUGUAGCAGUGAAAUGCGUAGAGAUGUGGAGGAAUACCGAUGGCGAAGGCAGCCUCCUGGGCCAACACUGACGCUCAUGCACGAAAGCGUGGGGGGCAAACAGG